AUUUCAUUUCUUCAUUUCCCUUCUUCACGCCAAUUCCGUGAGGAGAGAGAGAGAUGAUUCCAUUUCCAUCUUCUUCACAAAGCUUCAAUUUCCAUGGCAAAUUCCUUCACAUCUCUCAAUUUUAUUCGGGUUUUAAGGUGAAAUUGGGGAAAUCAACUCCAAAAGUCUUCUACGAGGACUAGUAACCCGGUUGAGUUGCAGAUUAGUGUGGACCCCUGUAGCCCAGCGAGCUCUGAACAGAAGGGAAGUACAAGUUGAGGUCUACUCUAUCUUAGAAUAGUUACUCUGGAAGGAGGACUUCCUUAUGUAUUAAGUUUGAUAUUGAUGUUGUAGUUUGAUGUUAUUUUGAGGUUGUAAGUUUAGCCUUAACGUUU
Ipomoea triloba (trilobed morning glory) is the source of this 374-nucleotide long non-coding RNA. RefSeq lists it as uncharacterized. The transcript has 3 exons. The record is from RefSeq and is a predicted model, not a curated record. Lineage: Eukaryota; Viridiplantae; Streptophyta; Magnoliopsida; Solanales; Convolvulaceae.